UCAGUGCUAGUGCAGUUUUUGAGGUUUCGUAAAACUUUUGCGAAUUGGCCAGAGAAUUGGAUUGAGGAUAUCAAGUGGCUCUUGGAUUACGUGAAGCAGCAGGCCAAGAAGGCACGGCAGAUGGAGGCACAACAGACGGAGGGGGACGUGCAAAUCGAGCAGCAACAGUCUAUAGAUGGAAAGGAGGAUAAUUCAGGGGGAUGCGCAAGUGGAGGCUUAGGAUGUGGAAGAGGUGCUGUAAUGUUCUCACUACCAAUGUGAUGAUGCCAGCCACUUGAACAACAUCCUCUUAGAAAUCUUGAAUUCUAAGAGUGCGUUCUGUGACAUUUGUCGAAUGGGAUUUACUGUACCAAAGAAAGGAGAUGCCAGGAAGAACAUGGUAAAGAUGGGGCUGAGGUCGCCCACCAGUUCUUCUUACAUUUUGAUUUUGCUGCUCGUCUAGCUCACCAAAAUCAAGAUUUUUGGAUGCCUAAAAUUUGGGUGAAUUGGAUGCAAGUUUGAGUUGCCGAUGGGGAAGAGCCAGCGUAACAAGCUUGCCAGGCCAAGGCCAGGCCAAGCCCACAGAUCAACCCACCACCACCCCACAAGAUGCCUCCCAAGUGAAGCCCAAGGACGUGAAGAAGCCUCCUCUAGGGGGCACACCGCCAGAAAAGGAGGAGAUACAUGAGGCGAAACAGCUGUCCAAAGAGCUAGCGACCGAGCAACAAUAGGUGGAGAUGGAAAAGCCACAGGACAAGCCCAAGACCCUGCCCCCAUAGGAUGCCCCAGAUGUGCCGAUCGUGGAGCAGUUGCCGGAUAUCAAGUGGCUCUUAGAUUAUGUGAAGCAGCAGGCCAAGAACGCACGGUAGAUGGAGGCACAACAGACGGAGGGGGACGUGCAAGUGGAGCAGCAGCAACAGUAGUCCACAGAUGCAAAGGAUAAUUUAGGGGGGAGGAUGCACAAGUGGAGGCCCAGAAGGUGGAAGAGGUGCGGCAAUGUUCUCACUACCAAUGUGAUGAUGCCAGCCAGUUGAACAACAUCCUCAGAAAUCUUGAAUUCUAAGAGUACGUUCUGUGACAUCUGCCGAAUGGGAGCUACUGCACCAAAGAAAGGGGAUGCUAGGAAGAAACGUGGUAAAGAUGGGACUGAGGUAAAGAUGUGGGUGUGUUUACAUUGUGGGAAGCAUUCCUGCGCACGAGAUGAAGAUGGCAAGCCACAAGGCCAUGCUAGAACGUAUGCCGCAUGGAAGGAACACUGGUGGGCUGCAGAAUUUCUUGAUCUAAUAUCUAGGUACUGCUUUUCAUGUGAAUGGAAUAUGGCAAUUACAAUGUCUAAAGAGACUUUGGUGGAUGGUAAGGCUGUGGAAGUUAUCAAUGAUUCAUCAUCAACCUCUUUUCUUGUCAAAGGAAUGAGGAAAAGGGUUCUGCUAGGGUAAAAGGGACGUUUUCUACUCCUCUGAAGAAGCUUUUUAUGGAGCUAGUGCUUUAGAUGAGGCACCCGUGACGGAUGAGAAGAGGGAUGAGAGCUUCUCUCAUAAGGAUGGAGAAGAAAAGAAAGAGGAUAAGGCUAGCACACUACUUAGCACACAUAAUCCAUUUUCAUAUAUUUACUCUAAGUGCGGUGGCUACAUGCAAGAUAGCGAACAACUUCUUCUAUGUAUUCUCCAUGCUCUAUGUAGAGAGGAAAAUAAAGCACAGAAACUAUCAAAUGAUUCUCCUAAAAGCAUUGAUUACAUAUUUGGAAGGGCGUUUGGAUAGUACAACACAAUGCUCUCCUUUCCUUUUCCUUUUCUUCGUAGUUCCAUUAAGACCCCUUAGUCUUUUUGAUGAUCUUGAUCUUAUAUGUAUUGGGGAUUGCUUAGGUGCCAUGGAUAUUAUCAGGAGAGAAGAGGAAGGUAUGAUGGAAUGUGGUGAUGCCCAACAAGAUAAUAAAAGUUAGACUAUAAGCAAGGGUGGACACAUAUUGGUGACUCAAUUGAAAAACUCCCACUCCAAUUUGCACUUUGAGAAGCUUGAUGCAAGAAUCAAGGAGAAUGACAUCAAUUAUCGCCUAGUUGGUGUUGUGCGUAAGGAAGGAGGGAAUUAUAUAGCAUUUGUGAGAAUUGGAUUGAGGAUGUGAGUUAAAGAUAUUUUGCGUCUUUUAGGCAGCUAGAGAAUUGGAUUGAGGAUGUUGAGGAUGUGAGUUAAAGAUAUUUUGCGUCUUUUGGGCAACCAGAGAACUGGAUUGAGGAUGUUGAGGAUGUGAGUUAAAGAUAUUUUGCAUCUUUAAGGCAGCCUAAAUCUUAUUUGUGCAAACUGAUAUUAACUUGGACCUCUG
Setaria italica (foxtail millet) is the source of this 2296-nucleotide long non-coding RNA. RefSeq lists it as uncharacterized. Lineage: Eukaryota; Viridiplantae; Streptophyta; Magnoliopsida; Poales; Poaceae. The transcript is spliced from 4 exons. The record is from RefSeq and is a predicted model, not a curated record.